GACGAACGCUGGCGGCGUGCCUAAUACAUGCAAGUAGAACGCACAGUUUAUACCGUAGCUUGCUACACCAUAAACUGUGAGUUGCGAACGGGUGAGUAACGCGUAGGUAACCUGCCUGGUAGCGGGGGAUAACUAUUGGAAACGAUAGCUAAUACCGCAUAAUAUUGAUUAUUGCAUGAUAAUUGAUUGAAAGAUGCUAUUGCAUCACUACCAGAUGGACCUGCGUUGUAUUAGCUAGUAGGUGAGGUAACGGCUCACCUAGGCGACGAUACAUAGCCGACCUGAGAGGGUGGUCGGCCACACUGGGACUGAGACACGGCCCAGACUCCUACGGGAGGCAGCAGUAGGGAAUCUUCGGCAAUGGACGAAAGUCUGACCGAGAAACGCCGCGUGAGUGAAGAAGGUUUUCGGAUCGUAAAGCUCUGUUGUAAGAGAAGAACGGGUGUGAGAGUGGAAAGUUCACACUGUGACGGUAUCUUACCAGAAAGGGACGGCUAACUACGUG
This 505-nucleotide ribosomal RNA is filed under the name uncultured bacterium. RNAcentral's name for it is "partial 16S ribosomal RNA". It matches the Rfam family "Bacterial small subunit ribosomal RNA", at positions 28 to 507 of the family's 1533-position model. The record is from RNAcentral.